GAUGAACGCUGGCGGCGUGCUUAACACAUGCAAGUCGAGCGGAAAGGCUCCUGCUUGCAGGGGUACUCGAGUGGCGAACGGGUGAGUAACACGUGGGUGAUCUGCCCUGCACUUCGGGAUAAGCCUGGGAAACUGGGUCUAAUACCGGAUAGGACCACAUUUUGGAUGGUGUGGUGGAAAGUUUUUCGGUGUGGGAUGAGCUCGCGGCCUAUCAGCUUGUUGGUGGGGUAAUGGCCUACCAAGGCGUCGACGGGUAGCCGGCCUGAGAGGGUGUACGGCCACAUUGGGACAGAGAUACGGCCCAGACUCCGACGGGAGGCAGCAGAGGGGAAUAUUGCACAAUGUGCGCAAGCCUGAUGCAGCGACGCCGCGUGGGGGAUGACGGCCUUCGGGUUGUAAACUCCUUUCGCUAGGGACGAAGCGUUUUUGUGACGGUACCUGGAGAAGAAGCACCGGCUAACUACGUG
Molecule: ribosomal RNA, 467 nt
Filed under: uncultured bacterium
Lineage: Bacteria
Description: partial 16S ribosomal RNA
Rfam family: Bacterial small subunit ribosomal RNA
Source: RNAcentral